Pseudophryne corroboree (corroboree frog) is the source of this 415-nucleotide long non-coding RNA. RefSeq lists it as uncharacterized. The record is from RefSeq and is a predicted model, not a curated record. The transcript is spliced from 3 exons. NCBI's taxonomy places the organism in Eukaryota, Metazoa, Chordata, Amphibia, Anura, Myobatrachidae.
CGACGACAAUGUACGGAAACAGCCAAGCGAGUGCAGGGCGAGCCAAGCGACGACAAUGUACGGAAACUGCCGAGCGAGUGCAGGGCGAGCCAAGCGACGACAAUGUACGGAAACUGCCGAGCGAGUGCAGGGCGAGCCAAGCGACGACAAUGUACGGAAACAGCCGAGCGAGUGCAGGGCGAGCCAAGCGACGACAAUGUACGGAAAUGGCCGAGCGAAGCACCCGAAGCAGCCAGCAGAGAGAAAGGGAGGCAUGGGAAGAGACGUCUGGACAACAUCUGGGCCGGCCACUUCUGGUAUGAUUCGUGGAACUACACAUCCCAGCAAGUUGUACUGCAUUUGCUGAUUAUGUCAAAUGAAUAUCAUGAUUGAAUAGUCUAGGUAUGAUUCGUGGAACUACACAUCCCAGCAAGUU